GCAUCGGUAGUUUAAUGGUAAAAUAUAUCGAUUGUUAUCGAUCGGCUCCGCGUUCGAUUCGCGGCUGGUGCA
RNAcentral lists this transfer RNA (72 nucleotides) under Hypoxylon rubiginosum. Its description in RNAcentral is "tRNA-OTHER". It matches the Rfam family "tRNA". From Rfam's summary of the family: Transfer RNA (tRNA) molecules are approximately 80 nucleotides in length. Lineage: Eukaryota; Fungi; Ascomycota; Sordariomycetes; Xylariales; Hypoxylaceae. The record is from RNAcentral.